UACGUAGGGAGCAAGCGUUGUCCGGAAUCAUUGGGCGUAAAGCGCGCGUAGGCGGCCCGGUAAGUCCGUCGUGAAAGUCAAAGGCUCAACCUUUGAAUGUCGAUGGAUACUGCCGGGCUAGAGUCCGGAAGAGGCGAGUGGAAUUCCUGGUGUAGCGGUGGAAUGCGCAGAGUAUCAGGAGGAACACCAAUAGCGAAGGCAGCUCGCUGGGACGGUACUGACGCUA
This 226-nucleotide ribosomal RNA is filed under the name uncultured bacterium. Its description in RNAcentral is "partial 16S ribosomal RNA". It matches the Rfam family "Bacterial small subunit ribosomal RNA", at positions 524 to 748 of the family's 1533-position model. The record is from RNAcentral.